Molecule: ribosomal RNA, 393 nt
Filed under: Triticum aestivum (bread wheat)
Lineage: Eukaryota; Viridiplantae; Streptophyta; Magnoliopsida; Poales; Poaceae
Description: partial small subunit ribosomal RNA
Source: RNAcentral
AUGGUGAGAGUCAGUGUGCUGAACGAUGCUCUCAAGAGCAUGUACAACGCUGAGAAGCGUGGGAAGAGGCAGGUCAUGAUCAGGCCUUCUUCCAAGGUCAUUAUCAAGUUCCUUAUCGUCAUGCAGAAGCACGGAUACAUUGGCGAGUUUGAGUACGUUGAUGAUCACAGGUCUGGCAAGAUCGUGGUUGAAUUGAAUGGCAGGCUGAACAAGUGUGGUGUCAUCAGUCCUCGCUUUGAUGUUGGUGUCAAGGAGAUUGAGGGAUGGACUGCAAGGCUCCUUCCUUCUCGUCAGUUUGGUUACAUUGUGCUGACAACUUCUGCUGGGAUCAUGGACCAUGAGGAGGCAAGGCGUAAGAAUGUUGGUGGCAAAGUGCUAGGCUUUUUCUACUGA